ACACUGUUCAUGGGUUACCGCGGCUGCUGGCACGGAGUUAGCCGGUGCUUCUUCUGUGAGUGAUGUCCUUCCUGCCGGCUAUUUAACCCCGCAGGCCUUCUUCCUCACUGAAAGUGCUUUACAACCCGAAGGCCUUCUUAACACACGCGGCAUGGCUGGAUCAGGGUUGCCCCCAUUGUCCAAUAUUCCCCACUGCUGCCUCCCGUAGGAUCUGGGCCGUGUCUNAGUCCCAGUGUGGCUGAUCAUCCUCUCAGACCAGCUACGGAUCGUCCGCCUUGGUGAGCCGUUACCUCACCAACCAGCUAAUCCGACAUAGGCUCAUCCGAUAGCGCGAGGCCCGAAGGUCCCCC
Molecule: ribosomal RNA, 350 nt
Filed under: uncultured bacterium
Lineage: Bacteria
Description: partial 16S ribosomal RNA
Source: RNAcentral